CCUCUUUUUGUUCCAGUUGUAACCCUUCUAGAAUUCGUAUCACUCAAUUGGAUGAACAAUGUGUGUAAAGAUACAAUUGAAGAGAUACGUAAACAUAUUUAAUUUGAUAUUAUUUUGAACGAAUAUUCAAUAAAUAUAAUUAUUUCUUAAUUAGAAAUAAUUUUACCUUUUUACUAACACCUUUUUUAAGUGAGUAUUCUUUUGAACUUUCCUUUGACUUAACUAUAAAACCUUCUCUUUCAACUUCUAAAAGUGUGUGCCACUUCUUGCUUAAAUUUUUUCUCACCUACAUUUAUUUGCUAGUUAGGAAGAAGAAAAUUUAUAAAAUAAAUUUAGACAAGAAAAAAAAUAUUAUUCCUUCCAUCAUCAUUUAUUUUCACCCUUUCAUUGUCUCCUUUUAUCAUGCCCAAUUGAUCAUUACUACAAAAUAAUUUGAAACAAAUAUAAGUUUAACAAGAACACAAAAAAAUUAACUAUUACUUUACAAAUUUUAAUUUUGACUUUCUAAAAAUGUAUCCAUGCUCCAAUAGACCUCUUAGGACUGGAGAAAAUUGUGUACCACUAUGCUUGCUCCUAAAAAUGAAUCAAAUAAUUAAGUUAUUUUCAUAACAUGAUUUCAAUUACUAUGUAAUAAAUUUUCUAUUUUUCUUUUAAUACGUUUAUAUUAAAUAGAAGGAGAUAAGUUCCUAUAAAAAAAAUUGUUAUAAGUUACUAUUACUACAUAUUUCAUAAGAGUUCAAAAUAUAAAUAAAGAGAAUAAGGAUAUGUAAGGGACAAAUUGAAAUAAAAUCAAUCCAUAAAUUUUGUAUUAUUAUCUUAUAUUUAUAAAGAAAUGUCAUACAAAAUACAUAGAAAAUUCACACUCCUAAAUCCCCACAAAACUCCCUCCAUUUUCAAUGGUAAAAAAACUAUGAACCUUUCUACUAUUAGCUUUAAUAUCUCAUGACCUUGCUUCAGGUUGCCUUAGUCCUCCUUUGGUCCACCCUUUAAGCAAGGGGGGUUCCACACCAUCUUCAUUACCCUUCCCAAUAUAUAUAACACUCACACAAACUAUGUUAAACAAUAAGAGUUCAAAAAUAAAGGUCUCAAAGUAGAAAUUGAAAAAAGAAAAAUUGAUUUCCAUUUUAAUAUAUUCAUUCAUUAAUCUUUUUUUCUUUUCUUUUCUCUCUUCUAAUAUGAUUUUAAGGCAAAGGCAAUAUGCUUAUAUGAAGAAAAAUAAUAGAAUAGUUGAACAUCCAUUCCACGAUGGAGAAUCAAUAUAUAUAUAUAUAUAUAUAAUUCAACAAUACUCAUUUUUUUUAAGGUUGGAGAACUACUAUAGCACAAGUUUUUCACUUCCACUCGUCUUCUUCUUCUUCUUCAUCUUCCUAUUUCUAGGGCAACUCCGACAAAGCUUCACCAAUGUCUCACUACCUUGGACAUUGCCGUCUUAGAGUUCAAAACUACCAUUGUCAAUGGGAGCAUAAAAAAUAAAUAAAUAAAUUUACAGAAUGGAGAAGAGAAAAGGGAAAAGGGUUUUGAUGGCAACUCCAAUAAAGCUUCACGAAUGCCUCACUAACUCGGACAUUGCCAAGUUGGAAUUCAAAACUACCAUUUCCAACAAGACCAUAAAAAAAAUAAUUAUUGUUGAAAUGGAGAAGAAAGAAAAAGGAAAGAAGAAGAAGCUUGUGGUGAAGGGGAGAAGAAGGAUGUGAUGAGGAUGUAACCCAAAAGAGAAAAGAGAAGGGAGAAGAAGGGGUAAUAACCAACUACCUAAACACCCCUUUUUCAACAAUUUUUUUCUAUUUGUUAUCCAUUCCGAUGGCCCAAAUUGAAUGAUUAUCAUCCAAUGGCCAAAAAUUAUUUAAGGUAUGGUACCCACUUCAUUACUCUAGAAUUUUCCAUUAAAAACAAGUUAUAAAUAUUUUAGGUUUUUUAAUAAACUUUUUUCUAUUUUUUGUUUUACAAAACAUUAUAAAAUAGUUUUUAAAAAUUAUUCUUCAAUUUUUAUAAUUAUUUACAAAAUUAAUUAUCAAACAAACCCAAAAUUCUUAGAUUCACUUCAAAACAAGCCUUUUGACUCAAACCCAAUGUGCACCUUAUUUAAUGUUAAAUAAGACAUAUUUUGCUACACAAGGAUUAAGAAAUCAAGAAUGUCCAUAUUAACAUUACAUAGACUUUCUUGAUUAUUUAUUUAUUUUCCUACAAAUAAAAGGGUUUUUUUAUUUAAAUUUUUCUAUGGAUCUAAAUAAGCAUUAUUUACUUAUAUUCAUAUAUAGAAUUUGUAUACUAUAAUAAUCAAACUGCAUCUUAAUUAUAAUAAACUUUUUUUUAUAAAUUAUGAAUAAAACCUAAAUUAAUUAUGAUAAAUAAUAAUUUUACAUUUUGAUAAUAGUGAUUGAUUAAUUGUUACUUUCUAGUUUUAUACAAUUAAGAGUGAUGAAAUAAUCUCAUAUAAACCUUCUCAUGUUUUUUCUUGAAAAUAUCCCAUUUUUAACACAAAUGCCUUUUCCCAUUUAGAUUUUAAAAUAAGAGUUUACUUUUAUAAUAACCCUUUAUCUUUAAAAUAAAAGGUUAAUAAUAAUAAUAAUAAUGAUAAUAAUAAUAAUAAUUAAUGUAUUUUUAUCUAAACAAGGCCAAAAUUAAAUGGGAGGUCAAAUUUCAAAAUUUUGAUUUUCAAAAAUCAUUUUAAUUAAAUAACCCUUUAUCCAAUCAUGGUUAGAAAGAUUGUCUAACUCAACAUCAAUUGUACAUAAAUAAAUAUUAGCUUUUACAAUGGUUAAGCUUAUUCAAAAUUAUAUUGGUAACUUUUUAAAAAUAUUUGUAAUGGGUGAACCUUAGUUUUUAUUUAGAUUUAAUACCAAAACACCUUUAAACUAGUAGUGCUUCUGGCAAAAGCUUUCCAACUUGUUCUGGACAUAGAGAAAAUAUAUCAUCAAUGUGGUUUUAAGCAUUUUAUAAAAGCCUUAAAUCCACAAUAAGCAAAUUUCGUUUCAAAAUUUGCCACACCCUGUACAAAGAAACAGGAUCGCACAAAAAUGCUGUUUAUUAAAAAAAACAUUUAUAAUAAAAUACAACAAUUUCAAAACUAUUUCCAAAUCUAAGAAAACAUUAAUAAGAAGUUAUUUUUCAAAAAGAUAACCUCAAUUUCAAUAUUGAAAUUAUCUUCCACUAUCUUUUCAAAAAACAACUUCUAACCCAAUUCCAUUUUAGAUUUGAAAAUAAAAUUUGAAUUGUCAUAUUUAAAAAAGAAAAUAUACAGUAGAUAAGUAAUCAUCAUCAGAAUAAGUAAUAGCAUUCUCAUCCACAACCAUUGCAAGUUGUGUAGGAAGGUGUCCUAAGAUUUAUACUAAUUUCAUCACUUGAUGAUUCCUUACCCACAAUCAACAACUAAAAACCCUAACAAAUUUAGAAAUAAAUGUAAAUAAAAUCAACAACUAGAAUAUAUUCUUACUUCAUCUUCAUUAGCAACAAUGAUCAACAAACCUAACAGCAAAGUUUAUCAAUUCAAAACAUAACCACAUUCCUUAUAAACAAUGGGGAACAAGAGACUACUCAGUGGUGGCAAUUUUGUUUAUGGUUCGAUUCUGCCAGCAAUUUUCCUCAACUUGGUUUAAGAAGAGGGAGCUUGGUAUCCUCAUUGUGGCCUCUAUUUUCCCCAACACAUACAAGAAAAAUCACAAAAAAAUAAACAGAAGUUCAAUUCUAUGAACUCUCAUGUAAGAAAUAACACAAGUACAGGUUUCUUUAAUUCAUAACAUGUGCUCUAGUAACACGUAGCUUUCUAUUUACAAAAUUUUAGAUCCAAAUGCAAUUGAACACAAUAGCAUUUGGAGCUAAAAUUUUCCAAACAAAAAUAUAUGAAACCAUGCAUGUUAUAAAAAGCUUGUACAAAACACUACACAAAAACCAUUAGAUACUAUUGGUACGAUUGACAAAAACAUGGGCUACAACUAAACUACACACUGAUUAGUUUAGGGUUCCUGAUAUUUCCAAUAUCAAAGUUCAAUUUGAACCAACCAUACUAGAAUUAGGCUUUUAAGUUAAUUAAAGCAAGAACACACUUUAAAUCACAUUGUAAUGCCCAUAAAUCUCAAGCAUUCAACCUUGUUUAACCCAACAAAAGGGAAUGAAACAAACCCACAAUCUUAGUUGGACUAGCACCAAACAAUUGACAAAAUCACAACACCAAUUUUGAACACCCAUCAAGUAUAUGCUCAAUCAGACAUUGUUAUACUAUGAUAGUGUUCAAUUUUGGUGUUAGGAUGCUAUAUGUUGCAAAUAAAUUUCACAAAUAGCUUCUCCAAACAGAAGCAUGGCAUGGAGAGCAUUAAUCUUGAAUGAACCUAUCAACAAUGCCAUUGAGCCCAUUGAAGAAGCAAUUUGCAGAACCCAUAUGCAAAUAAUAGCAUCUUUCUUAUUCUUAUUGUGAUGUUCAACAACAUAACUACAUCUACUUAGAAUACCAUUAAACCCAUCAAUCAAUACUCACUAAACUGAUCAUUUGAUGAUAACCCGAGAUUAAGAAAAAACCACUAAUCAAACCCAUAUCAAUAUACACAUAAUCAUUAAGAAUAAACAACAAUUUGAAUGCUACUAAAAAGAAUGACUCCUAAAAUUUUCUGUCAUCAAUCAACUCUGCUUCACUGGUUUAUUAGUCUAUCCAAAAUUCAAAAGAGCGCUUGACUUUUGACUUUUGAGCUAAAAUGACUCACCUUUUAAACUUAAAGUUGAGAAUUUUGAAACUAUGGUUCAAAAUAGCCUUUGAGCUUUCACGGGCUGUCCGGACAGCCUUGCUCGGCUGAUGUGGCUUAAAGGGUUAUUUUGAACAAUAGUUUCAAGGUGUCAACUUUAAAUUUAAAAAAUGAGUCAUUUUGACCCAAAAGUCCAAAACAAGGGCACAACAUCAGUCGCAGGAAUGAUGAACAGAAAUAGAUUCAGAAGCAUAGAAUUUAACAUCACUUGGAUAUAAAUAUCUCAGAUCAAGUGUUGGAUUAAUGUACUGUUGCUUCAUCCCAAUCUACAUCUAUUGAUCAUAAACCAGUGGCUUAAAUGCUGCAAAAGUAACAAAUAAAAAAUUUAAUUCAAAAUCAAAUUAUAAAAAAUAAAAAUAAUGAUAGAAAUUUUAAUGCAUCGAUGUUUUGUUUGAUUGACUGUUAUAAGAAACAAAGGUUGAAUCCGCAUUUUAGAGAACUCAUAAAAUCAAGAACAAUAUUUAAAAAAAAAACAAAAGAAAUAUUUUGGUUUUUUCUUUGUUCCCGAACUUUCCCAGUGACCAAACGGAUCCAAUAAACCACGAGAAAAUUUCAAUAAACGAAAAAAGCGAAAUGGAAGAAAGAAAGAGAGAUCGCUCAGUUCAGCGGGGUGGUCGACACGCAAAGUUCUCAGAGAAGAGAAACCGUGCAUUCCGGUCUGUUGAGCUUGAAUUUUAUGGAGUCAUCAUAGCGAUCUUCAACAAUAUGUAAACAGAAAGAGACUGCAAAACCCUAGAAAAACCGUAAACCAGAAAGUGUAAUGCUAGAUGGGAGAGUAACGAGAAUAAGAACCAAAAGAUGGUGGCUGUGAUUGUGAAACAACUGAUGAGAACUCUGAAUUUAUACAGAAAUUUUAGGGUUAGGGUUUUGGAAUCUCAUACAGAUUGUUGGCUGGACCAGCCUGAGCCCAAGAUCUUGGGCCCUUACUGGCGUAGAUUUAGUGGGUCGGGUUUGGUUGCGGAACCUCAAUGGAUAUGGGCCUGAGCCAGCAGAGCCCAAAGUCGGGGCACAGCUUGUGCAGGUUGGCCUAAUAUAACCAAAUGUUUGGGUGAGUUUUUGGUAAUUAUUUUCAAUAAUUAGUUAAGUUUGAGUUAUGUUUUUUCAACCGGUUCAAAUAUACUUUCAGAUUUUAGGUUGUUUGUUUUUUUUUACUUUUUCAUGACUUAUUAUUAUAAAUUUUUUGCUGAAUAAAACAAACUAAAAUAUUUGAUUUUUUCUAAUUAGGAAAAUAAUUGAUUUUUUUUAUUUUUUAAUACUUAAUAAUAAUAAUAAAAUGUUACAAAAAAACAAAUAACCUAAUACUUAACAUCACUAUUUAAUUUUAAGUUCUAUUUAGAAUUAAAUAAAAACAAACAAACACCAAUUUUUAAUAAAAACCACUUUAUCUUAAAUAUAAAAUUAAUUACACAACAACCCAAGCAUAAGCUAUAAACCAUUGGAAAAUAAUAUGGAAGUUUUUCCAACAGAAUUUGAAAAAUAUAUUAAACGAAAUUAGCCCAUGGAGGGUGAUUUUUCCCUCACAAGCACUUUGUAUCUAGAUUAUAAUUCUAAUAAUUUUUGUAUUCUAUCAUGUCAUAGUAAUUCAUAAUUGAAGUUCUAAUUGUUUUCGUAAUAUUCUAAAUAGGGAUGAUAAUGCAACAGGUUUUUUCGGGUAUCCAUCUCUAAUAAAAAAGAAUUUGGGAUAAAGAUAAAAGGGUUGGAAAGUUUUUAAAAAACUAGAAAGGUCCAAGUGGUAUGACUUUGUCUUAUGUCCCCUAUCUUAAUUAUAUAUAAUUUUAAAUAAAAAAAUAUUUUAAUUGAUUUUUUUCAACUUUUUAAACAUAAAUAAAAUAUUACUUUUCAUAAAAAUAAAUUAUAAAUAUUUAUUUAUAAAUUAUAAUUAUAUCUCUUUUAAUAAAAUUUAAAAGAAAAUAUUGAAAAAUUUUAAAUGAGGCAAAACAUGCAUGAGAAUUUCCUAUACUCCUCCCGAGCUGUUCCAUUAAUUUUUUUCUAUUUGGAUAGGAAUGAAAAUAGAUAUAAAUAGGAUUGGGAUGAGGGUGAUUAGCCCCAAACUUACUCUAUUGUUAUUCAUAGAUUUGAGGAAAUCUGUUAACUUUACAAGAAAAAUUUUCAAUCAAAAUAAAAAUAAGAAUUUGUCAAAGUGGUUUUACUUCGAUCUGAAUUUUCUUCUCUUUUUUCUUUUUCCUUUGGGCUUGUUCUUCCAUCUUUUAGAAGAUGGGCCUUUUUGGGAUGUGUAGGCAUGGAGGAAGUUGGGCUUCUUGCAAUGGAGAAUUUCCUUGGUCUCUCAUGUGGGCUUGCGAGUUUUAGACUUGUUUUUAUUAUCAUUGUGAUUUGAAAUGAAAGAUUUUGGUCUAAAAAAAGAAAAAAAUCGAUUUAAAAUCUUCAAAUUUGGUGUUUGGAAGGAAGGAAAGAACUUCAAAGAUUUGAUAGAUAGAUGGAUUUGUUUUUCUUUUUUUUUAAAAAAAAUUUCAAUUCCUUAAAAAAAAAAUUAGAGUUUUACGAUAUUUAUAUUUUAUUAAGAGAAAUGUAUAAUCUUGGAAUUUUAAGUAGAAUAUAUAUAUAUAAAUUAAUUCAAAAUUGUUAAUGGAAUUUUAAAUAAUUACAAAUAGAGCAGUUAAAAAUCCUUAAGCUAUGUUUGGUUCUCAAAAAAUUUUAGAAAAAAAAGAAAAAGAAAAAGUGAAGAAAUAAAAAAGGAAGGAAUAUAUACAAAAAUUUAAAAUCAAUAAAUUAUUUUUAUAUACUCCUUAAAAAUCAUUUCAUUUAUUUUCCUUUAUUAUUUACAGAUUAAAUAAUUUUAAAAUACAUAAAUUUUUAACUAAUUUUAAUUAUAUUUUUCAUAAUCAAAACCCAAUUUAAGAAAAUCAUUUUCUCUGAAUUUAUACUAAAACUAUAGGCUCAUGCUGCAGCUUCAAACUAAUGCUUACCUGAUAAAAAUAAGGGUUAUCUUGAACAAUUCUUUUGAAAGAGACCCAAAACAUAUAUUUGAACCAAAAAGCAAGAGAAAGAGAUCACACUCUGUUGAGUCUGAGGUUCGCGAAACAUUAAAGUUUCUCAAUCUGCUGUGCUUAGAAUGACCUGAGCCAAACAAAUGAAGGGACAAUAAGGGAAGAAAGCACAAUAGCCAAGAUUAUCGAUUCAUGAAAUCCCUAGUCUCACAAAGAGAAGUUAACUUAUCAAACCACAUACUUAGGGAGUGACAAAUAAAAUUGGUCAUCACAUUUGAAUAACGACCCAAUCCUUCCUGCUCAAUAACAACACAGGAUGGGGAAGAAGAAAGAUUAAAAGCUACCUUUCUUAACUCAGCAAACUGUACAGUUGCAUCAAAGUAUAUGACAUGUUGCUUAAAGCAACCAAAGAAUAUGUUCUAGGACCAACUCAUCAUCCUUUUACAGGAUCCUCACCGUAAGAGUGCGUUAGUCUUUUUAACACCAGGAAAUUUUCAUUCUUCAAGUAUUAAAAAUGCUAGAAACACUUUCUAUAAUCACUGUCAAACGCACUCUAAAUACCCCAUAAUCAAUAGCAACAUCAAACCCCUCUAUUCUCCAAAGCCACCCUAGUUCAUGCUACAUUCUGCAUACAGUAACUACACCACCUACAUGUUCUAGUAUGAUUAUUGUUUAAUACUAAAACACUUAAUAAAAGGGGAAGCGGGUUUUUUCAUGUUUUAUAUAAAUAUAUACUGGCCAACUGAGUUCACACAUUGUUAUGCAUGUCGUAUAGGAUAAUCAAAAGGAUAAAAGGAUGGAUGCUAACUAACCAUUGAUGUGGUUGUGGUGGCAGUUCUGUUCCGUGGCCACAUAAUUAGUAGCCAAGUGGUAGCACUAUGAUAGAAAUAAUGGCAGUAUAUCGAUGAUGCAGUUUAUACUAAGAGUGCGUUUAGGAGUGUCUUUGAAGAACUUUUGGUGGAAAUGUUUUCUCUAGAAGUAUUUUUAGGUGAAUCACUAAUCAAGCGUUCUCCAAAAAGCACUAAAGGUGAUUUUUCAAUUUUUUAGAAGUGUAUUCUAAAUUUUACCAAAUGCCUACUUUUUUCUUCAAAAACGCUUUGUAGGUUAGAAGUGCUUUUUCAAAAACAAUAACAAACGGAAUCUAAGCUCAUUGAAAAGGAAAUUUCUACAACUCUACAAAUUAACUUAGAGAUAUUAUACCCUCCAUUUUCUAAACCAUAAAAUGAUUGAAAAUCAAUCUCGUCAUUAAUGAUAUUCAAUGAUUGAGAUUGAUUUUCAAACAUUCGAUAGUUAAGAUUUUGAAGGUAUAAUACCUCCAAGGAAAGAUAGAAUUUUCCUUUUGUUAGGAUAUUGUAGCACAUGAAAAGAAUGAAGAGGCUUAAGGCCUCAAUGUUUUGGAUUAAUUUAUUAUCCAUUUGUCCUCAUCUUCAAAAAUAAAUAAGAUAAGCUUUUUGUGAUGAGUUAAUUGUUUUCAAAGUUAAUUGAUAAUCAUGUUGAAUUAUUAGUUGAUCCUAUAACAAUCAUUUUAAAACUUAAGAAUCUAGAAGAAGGGACAUUGCAAACUCCAAUUCCACAACACAUUUGAAAUAGCAAGAGAAAACCAGGAAACAGAAAUCAGAUCAUACGCUACUCAAACCCCCCUCAAGUCUACAAAUUUAAACAGAAGAUGAAGAGCAAGCGAAUAGAGGAUUACAUACAGUUCAGUCAGUUAGUCACAGAAUCACCAUACAUUCAACAUAGCAAUGAAUCAAUAGACCCGAAAAAUUCAAUCAAGUUAACACCUCAUUUUUUUUUUUCUCUCUUUAUUUGUUUUUGAUAGGCAAGAAGAGAUUUUAUAUAUAUAUAUAUAUAAGGCUCAACAAAGUACACACAAUAUAUAGAUUGUUGCCAAAAGAAACAAGCAAGCAAAAGAAAGAGAGAAGUUGUUGUGUUGUGCAAAGCACACUCAGUUCAGUGGGCUGGGGUACUCAAACAUAAACAUUUCUCAAAGAAAAGCAUUUCAAAUUUCUUGUGUUAUUCUUGAACAUUAUGAAGCACCAAUGCAAUCUUCAGAACAGAGAGCAAGGAACAAUAAAAGAGUCACAAUAACCAAGUCCAAUAUCCACUAUUAUUGUUUUUGAAAAUCCAUAGUCUCUUACAAGAAGUUAAACAUACAACCAACACUUUAUCCUGCACCAUGCCUUAUUAUAAGAACCAAACCAUGCUCAAUAACAACAUAUAAUGGGGAAAAGGAAAUAUUAGAAGCCAACUUUAGGAAACUCAGCCCCAUCCACUAACAAAAAAUUUGUUACAGCAUUUUAAAUGAGUUAAGCAAUUCAUCUGAAGAGACUCUCCGACUUGCUUCUCCGACAGACACAGUAAAUAAAUGUCCUUAAUUUUGAACAAAAUUACAUGACAUAUCACUGAAUCUAUCAAAGAAGCAAACCGAAGAGUCUAUUCGACAAAUAAAUUAAUUUAUUUUAUAGACACUGAAUCUCACCACUAAUGCUACCAACAAUAUCAACACCAAACACCAACCCCACACCAAACAAACAACACAACCAAACCCCCCCUUCCCUAACAUUUUCCCUUCCAAAAACCACCACCACCACACUACAUUAUGCAUAGUCAUAGACCCCACUAAUAUGAUUGAACUUGCCAAAAGGGGGAAGAAGUUCUUUCUUGCUUUUAUAUACCAGCAAGUUAAGUACAGACUUAUACUAUGCACAACAGAAUGGUGGUGAGGUAUCAUAAGAAGGAUCAAUACACAAUCAAUUAUCUAUAUAACAAUUGUGGCAACUAAGGACACAUAACAACUUUUAGUCACUUGUUGCCAUUGUGGUGGAAAUGACAAUGAUCUAAUGACUAGCAUUGACCAUGUUAAGUUCAUCAAAGAAGAAAUCUCUACAACUCCAUAUAUUAAAUUUUCAUGAACCCAAUAUAGCUAUUGAUAUGACCAUCCCAUGUGAUAACACAUGUUCAUAUUAAUAAUCAUAUUUGUUUAAAUACUUAAUCGAUUUGUAUUGCAAUUCGCAUUUUAUUUUAUGUGUAUCAUAAUUGUAUCUUAAGAUAAAUAUACGAUACACAUAUAAUAUAACAAUAUAUACACUUUUAACAAGUUUUCAUAUUUGUUAAAAAAAAAUAAAUUGAAAUUUUUUUUCUUAGAAGAGUGUUGUUUUAUUAAUUGUUUAAAAUGUACCAUAAGGUAAAAAAUUGAUCAUAAAAAGGAGAAAGGUAAAAUAAUCCUAUAUGAAAACCUACAUUAUUGAUGUCAAAGCCACACAUGAAAUGUUGGAAGUUGAUUAAAUUUAUUUUGAUAAUGAAUAUUAGGGAAUCUUCAUUUCAAUGAUUUGAAUAUGGGAAAGUUGUGUUUAUAGGCUGUUAUAUGGGAAAUAUAUGGUUUUGGAAACCCAUAUAACUGAAAUAUGAGAUCUACCUAGUAAUGAGAAAAAUAUUAUAUGUUUCAUGCACUAUUUACUGUUCAUAUUUACAAUUCCGAAAUUACCCUUUAGGUCUCCCUAUCACCCGUGUCCAUGUCAUCCGGAAAACAUAGGGAGAAAAAAAAAAGCAAUUUUUUUGGUUUUCCUUAGGGGUUUUGCAUGGAUUUUCUCAGAAAUCAAACGAGGAUGAAUUUUUUCGGAAGUCAAAUGGGGGCGACAAUGGCUCGAACAGAUCCAGAAAACAUAGGGAGCAAAAAAAAGCAAUUUUUUGGUUUUCCUUGGGGGUUUUGCAUGGAUUUUCUUGAAAAUCAAACGAGGAUGAAUUUUUCCGGAAAUCGAAUGGGGGCGGCGGCGGCUCGAACAGAUCCAAAAAACACAAGGAGCAAAAAAAAAGCAUAUAAUAUUUCAGAAAUUUCGGAAAUAAAGGAUAAUUUCGAAAAUGUAAAUAUGAACAAUAAAUAGUGUAUGAAACAUAUAAUAUUUUUCUCAUUACCAAGCAAAACCCAUAUUUCAGUUAUAUGGGUUUCUAAAACCAUAUAUUUCCCAUUUAACAGCCUAUAAACACAACUUUCCCUUUGAAUAUUGCCAAUGAAAUUGAUGGUGAUUAGUGAAUAAAACUUUUGACUUGACAUUAUGCUUUUUUUCUUUUAUGAAGAAGAAAUGAUGACAAACAUGAAAAGUUUGAACAAUAUAUACGUCAAACUCAUAUUUUGUUAAAUUUUAACUGUUCAAGACUCUAGUUUUAAUGUUUUUCUAUGGUAUGACAUAAUUUAACUUUUUUAAAUUCUACCAUCUUGCAUGAAAUUGGUUGUAUUUAUUCUUGAUAGGUCAUACAACCAAUGUCAUGCAAGAUGGUAGGAUACUACUUUAUACUUCAUAUUUCAAAUAUACAUUACUUCACUUGUUAGGUAAAAAAGGAAAUAUAACCAAUUUCAUGAAAUUGGUUAUAAGUUAAUUUAUACUCCAUAUUUCAAAUAUAUAUGGAUUAUGCAUGCACAUUUGAUUAAUUCAUUUUUUUAUUACAUAAAAAAGUUAGUAUACUCAAUAUGAUAUACUACACAAUAUAUAAAAAUAUAAAAACAAUGCAAAGUAGGUUUUACAAGUUAAUAAUUGUGAUUAAAAGUCAAAGUUAGAAUAAUCUUACAAUUAUUAAAAAUGGGAAAGCUACAAAAAAGGAGUACCAUCGCCCUAAUGCUACCAUCUUUCAUGUCAGAUAUCACACCAAGUUUACUCCUUACUUGGGCAUGUAUUAUCACAUAGUAUGACCAUAUCAACUACCAAAGAAUGCUUCAAGCCCAAAUUAUGUGUGCAGUAACCACAAAGUGUAACAUGCUUCUAAGUUAUAAGCAUAUGUUCAAGUUAUACUUUUUGAAAAUGAAUGAAAACUUUGUGUGAACCAGCUUUUAUUUAAUUUACUGUCAACACAAUCACAAACUGUUGCAUACAGGCCAUUCGAGAUUCAACCUUAAGGCUCAUUCCAUGAAAUGGGCUAUGCAAAGUCCACCCUAGACCCAAAUCAAUUUUGGAUUAAUGGUACUAUUCAUCAGAAUGAAUUGUUGGUCAAUAAAAAUACGCAUCAAUGAUCUUUUAAAACAUAAUGAAAGAAUUACUUUUCUAAAAAGUGAUUACCAUUUUCAUUUUGUUUAAUCAUCAAUAAAGAAUGAGUGCUUUUUAUAACAAUUGUAUACAAAAGUCAAACAACUUCAUCACCAUCCCGCUAUUAAGAAGACAAUGCAGGAUAACCAGCCCUCAUCAUUAUCAGAAGGGAAAUUGCAUUCUUAUGCAGAACAACCAAAAUUUGUGUUGCAAGGUGCUCUAACAAGUAUAAAAAUUCCAUCACUAGGUGAUCUUGAAAAUAUGUCAUAGAAAAAAUAAGCAAGAACAUGAAGAAAAGGAGACUACUCAGUGAUGGCAAUUUAGUUUGUGGUUCGAUUCUGCCAGCAAUCUUCCUCAACUUGAUUUCAGUAGAGGGAGCUUAUAAUCCUCAUUACAGCCUCUGUUCCCCCAAUUUAAAUAAGACUCAAAACACACAUUAAAAAAUUCCAAAUUUAUGAAAAAAUAAUCAGAGGAAGAAUUGCAUAUCCUCCCUUCCGACCUCCAACCUCCAACCUCCAACCUUACCUACUUCCUGCUCCAUUCAAAUUUUAAAUGAUAAUCUAGAGUACACAAUAUCCAUCACUUUCCUAGUUUUGGAACUAAUCAGAUAACACUGAAGGGCAUCAAAAAUGAAAUAAGAAAACCAUGUCCCACCAUCCAAUUGCAACUCAACACAAAGACAAGUAGGUCCAAAGAAGGUACUCAUGCACCAGGAAGUUUUUCAAUCCAUCAUUCCAUGUUUUCCAGUACAUUUAGUCACACAUUACAGCAUGUGAUUCAGAUUUUAUCCACAAAAUUUUAAAUUCAAAGUCCGUUAUAUCGCCACAUAUGAUGAUUAAAGUUAUAGUCUAAGAAUAAUGCUACUCUUGCCAACAAAGUUUGCAGAAAUUGCUUCACCUACGUACUCAUAGCACAAAUACCCCUAAUAUUUCAAAUAUUUUAGGGCAUGCCAUUGAGUGUGCCGACAAAGCAUUUUGGCAAAACUUCCUCAACAUGAAAAGCAUUUUUAUAAUUUAAUCUUGAUAUAACUACCACCAUAUGUAUCGUACAACUGCAUUUGAAGAUUAAACUUUUCCAAUAUAGCCAAUGCAACCAUGCAUCAAAAUUAAAAGAAGAAAGAAUUUUCUGUAUGACAGAAUACAAAAAAUUGAAAACACCCAGCUUACAAUGAUGAUAAUAAUAGUAGAAGAAGGUUAGGACCCACCAUACAUGUUUGGAAAAUGAGAAAGCUCAGUCAAGAAAAAAACCGACGGAAACUCCUUAAUGGAUGGAAGUAAAGUCCUUUUUUUUAUAAUUAUUUUGUAAAUGACAACAAAAAUCUCCAUUCUAUUCAGACCUCAUUUUAAAAAAAGAAUUAAAAAAAAAAUUCAUAAUUAUUUUCUAUUUAUUUCUAUUUCCUGAAACUAACAGAAUAUCUGCAUAAAAUUUUGAUGCAAUAGACGGAUAAACUAAUCAAAUUUCAGACUUUAUGAAACGUUAUCCUCUUUUCCUGAUCUUUCUCAGGAGGCAAACAAACGGAAUGCGAUUUCUGAGAAUAUUUUCAGUAGAGGAGAUCCCUCAGUUCAGUGGGGUGGUCGACACGCGAGGCUCUCAAAGGAGAGAAACUCCGCAUUCCGGUCUGUUGAGCUUGAAUUUCAGUGGGUCAUCACCGCGAUCUUCAUUAAAAUAAAUAUAGGAAGGGCUGAAAAACCCUAAUCUGAGAAAGAGUAAAAGGAACCCAAACCUGA
RNAcentral lists this long non-coding RNA (14420 nucleotides) under Vitis vinifera (wine grape). Its description in RNAcentral is "long non-coding RNA (VVIN_LNC005341)". The record is from RNAcentral. Lineage: Eukaryota; Viridiplantae; Streptophyta; Magnoliopsida; Vitales; Vitaceae.